Molecule: RNA transcript, 776 nt
Organism: Musa acuminata AAA Group (dessert banana)
Lineage: Eukaryota; Viridiplantae; Streptophyta; Magnoliopsida; Zingiberales; Musaceae
Exons: 4
Source: RefSeq, a predicted model, not a curated record
GUCCAGAUUUGUAUUCUUUCCAGGUCGGAUCGUAUCCUCAAUCUUGAAGCGACGUAGCUUGCGCCGCCACUUACCGCGCUCCGCCUUCGGUUCUCUCGGCCCUUUCUAAAGCCCUAAACGCUCGCCGCCUCAGUCGCAGUGUUCGCACGCCAUCUCUCUCCCGUUGCUCCGAAUGGCGUGGCGCGGAUCGAUCUCGAGAUCGAUGCUUGCUGCUGCGCGGUCCUCGUCCCCCCGAUCGCCGCCUCCGGUAGCCCGCCUCCGCCCUGCGCUUGUUUCCGGUCCCCGCGUCCAGCGCCACCGCCUCUCCUUCGGCCCUCCCAGAUCUCUUGGAGCAUUAGGAUGCGCGCAGUCCUUCCUUCCGUUUGACUGCGUGGUGGCCGCUCCGUGCCUCACCUCUCACUUGUCGGUCAGCGCGAGAGCGUGCUGUGAGCUCUCUCAGGGUACCUUCUGUCGCACUUGUCAAGAUCGCUAGGAAAAAUGGAAAAGAUGGUUGAUGAAGAGACGGGGCGUCGUUCAGUGGGAAGCACUGUUUAAGCUGAUGUACUUGAAGAAAUAAGGAUCAAUUGCAUCGAUGGUAAAUGGAUGAUUCUUGGUACGUGUAGAACAAGAACCUGCGUAAGGAUUGACUGGAAGAUUAGGAGAUACUGCAAGUGCUUUUUGAUUGUUUCACCAGUUUUGAGUUUUAUUUUCCAGGAGUUCAAGAAUAAGUGUCACUUGUGCUUCUGGUAAACAUCCUCUGGGAUUAUUAUGUCAUGUUCAUUCCACUCGGGUUUUCA